RNAcentral lists this ribosomal RNA (301 nucleotides) under uncultured bacterium. Its description in RNAcentral is "partial 16S ribosomal RNA". It matches the Rfam family "Bacterial small subunit ribosomal RNA", at positions 509 to 807 of the family's 1533-position model. The record is from RNAcentral.
CAGUCGCCGCGGUAAUACGUAGGGUGCAAGCGUUAAUCGGAAUUACUGGGCGUAAAGCGUGCGCAGGCGGUCCGCUAAGACAGAUGUGAAAUCCCCGGGCUUAACCUGGGAACUGCAUUUGUGACUGGCGGGCUAGAGUAUGGCAGAGGGGGGUAGAAUUCCACGUGUAGCAGUGAAAUGCGUAGAGAUGUGGAGGAAUACCGAUGGCGAAGACAGCCCCCUGGGCCAAUACUGACGCUCAUGCACGAAAGCGUGGGGAGCAAACAGGAUUAGAUACCCGCGUAGUCCCUGUCUCUUAUAC